GACGAACGCUGGCGGCGUGCUUAACACAUGCAAGUCGAACGGAAAGGCCCUGCUUUUGUGGGGUGCUCGAGUGGCGAACGGGUGGGUAACACGUGAGUAACCUGCCCUUGACUUUGGGAUAACUUCAGGAAACUGGGGCUAAUACCGGAUAGGAGCUCCUGCUGCAUGGUGGGGGUUGGAAAGUUUCGGCGGUUGGGGAUGGACUCGCGGCUUAUCAGCUUGUUGGUGGGGUAGUGGCUUACCAAGGCUUUGACGGGUAGCCGGCCUGAGAGGGUGACCGGCCACAUUGGGACUGAGAUACGGCCCAGACUCCUACGGGAGGCAGCAGUGGGGAAUAUUGCACAAUGGGCGGAAGCCUGAUGCAGCAACGCCGCGUGCGGGAUGACGGCCUUCGGGUUGUAAACCGCUUUCGCCUGUGACGAAGCGUGAGUGACGGUAAUGGGUAAAGAAGCACCGGCUAACUACGUGCCAGCAGCCGCGGUGAUACGUAGGGUGCGAGCGUUGUCCGGAUUUAUUGGGCGUAAAGGGCUCGUAGGUGGUUGAUCGCGUCGGAAGUGUAAUCUUGGGGCUUAACCCUGAGCGUGCUUUCGAUACGGGUUGACUUGAGGAAGGUAGGGGAGAAUGGAAUUCCUGGUGGAGCGGUGGAAUGCGCAGAUAUCAGGAGGAACACCAGUGGCGAAGGCGGUUCUCUGGGCCUUUCCUGACGCUGAGGAGCGAAAGCGUGGGGAGCGAACAGGCUUAGAUACCCUGGUAGUCCACGCUGUAAACGGUGGGUACUAGGUGUGGGGUCCAUUCCACGGGUUCCGUGCCGUAGCUAACGCUUUAAGUACCCCGCCUGGGGAGUACGGCCGCAAGGCUAAAACUCAAAGGAAUUGACGGGGCCCCGCACAAGCGGCGGAGCAUGCGGAUUAAUUCGAUGCAACGCGUAGAACCUUACCUGGGUUUGACAUGGAUCGGGAGUGCUCAGAGAUGGGUGUGCCUCUUUUGGGGUCGGUUCACAGGUGGUGCAUGGCUGUCGUCAGCUCGUGUCGUGAGAUGUUGGGUUAAGUCCCGCAACGAGCGCAACCCUUGUUCACUGUUGCCAGCACGUUAUGGUGGGGACUCAGUGGAGACCGCCGGGGUCAACUCGGAGGAAGGUGGGGAUGACGUCAAGUCAUCAUGCCCCUUAUGUCCAGGGCUUCACGCAUGCUACAAUGGCUGGUACAGAGAGUGGCGAGCCUGUGAGGGUGAGCGAAUCUCGGAAAGCCGGUCUCAGUUCGGAUUGGGGUCUGCAACUCGACCUCAUGAAGUCGGAGUCGCUAGUAAUCGCAGAUCAGCAACGCUGCGGUGAGUACGUUCCCGGGGCU
Molecule: ribosomal RNA, 1346 nt
Filed under: uncultured bacterium
Lineage: Bacteria
Description: partial 16S ribosomal RNA
Rfam family: Bacterial small subunit ribosomal RNA
Source: RNAcentral